AUUUCCUGAUCGUCACGCCGGGUUCCCUGCUCGGCACUUUCCGUGUUUUCACGGCACAGCUCACGGUCAUCAUUGAGGGAAGUGAGGCUCAGAGAGCCCACCUCCCAGAGAUGCGGCGGGAACGUGCUGGUGACGGCAGGGCCUCUGUGACUGGAGAUGGCUGCAGAGCCGGGAGGACGUGCUUGUUCCAGCAAAAGGCUUCGGGGAGUAGGCUCUGGGUCAAGUGGGCCUGGGUGCAAAGAAGCUUUGUGUCUCCGGUGCUGUGCGGCCUCAGGCAAGUCGCUUCCCCUCUCUGAGCCCUGGUUUCCUCUGUAAAAUGUGGGCGCUACCAACAGAACCUGCUCGGAGGACCGACACCUCGGUUAAGGAGGUGAUCGGUGCGGCCCACGGGCCAACGCUUAGUACCCGCUGGUGGGGGUGUUUACUGUCCCACCAGGUAGCCAAGAACUUGGCAUAAAGCCUGGGACAUCCGAGGCCCAGGGCGUGUGUCCAGAGCCUCUGGGGAUAAGCACCCGUGUUAGGGACCCUCCCUUGCCCUUCACCUCCGAGGGAAGGGGCUCUGCACUCGGCGCCCACACAGCCCCACGCUUGUGUUCACGGCGCCUCGGGCAGCCUGAGCGCCCCGGAGGGAGUCAGAGAGAGCUGACCGGCCGCGGGAGCAGGGAGGUGGCCACAGGCCCCGGAGGCCGGCCGUGAGGGAAGGAGGGGGCUCCCCACAGGCGCUGGAGGCAGCCGGCGGGCUUCCUGGAGGAGGGGGCCCCCAUCAUCACCAGCCUGCGUGUCAGACCCCUUCCUCUCCGAGCUGAGGCCUGUCUUCCGGGGGCUGCGCCCUCCCCGCGCCCCUGCCCCCUGCCCGGCUGCUGCCCCCGCUGCCCCCGGGAAGCCUCUGGACGCCUCAUCCCCGGGGCCUGAGGAGUAGGCCGGGCGCCCUCUCCGGACUGAGGGCUCUGCUGCCCCCCGGUGGCAGGACUGAGGAGGACGCUGGCCGCUGGGGGAAACCUGCUCAGAUGCAGCAAUUACGGCUGCAGGACACUGGACUGGUUUCAGAACCCGAGUCAGGUUCCAGCUGCCGCUGUGACCUUGGACACGUCGUGUCACCUCUCGGAGCCUGAGUCCUCCUGCCCAACGCUGACCAACCAGGGUGGUUGCGAGGAUUGAGUGACCUCACGCCAGGUGACCUCACGCCAGGUGCACAGGCCGCUCUGAGACCACCGUCACCGUCACCGCCGGGGCACCUGUGCCAUCCCCCCAGCACUGCCUCCCCUUCGAACAAAUGCUUUUUGCAAACUCCCUUUUCACGGUGUCCCCUCCUUGAA
Molecule: long non-coding RNA, 1316 nt
Organism: Canis lupus familiaris (dog)
Lineage: Eukaryota; Metazoa; Chordata; Mammalia; Carnivora; Canidae
Exons: 3
Source: RefSeq, a predicted model, not a curated record